This 1922-nucleotide ribosomal RNA is filed under the name human gut metagenome. Its description in RNAcentral is "bacterial LSU rRNA". It matches the Rfam family "Bacterial large subunit ribosomal RNA", at positions 369 to 2288 of the family's 2925-position model. The record is from RNAcentral.
AGCCCCGUACGCGAAGGGUCCGGACUCGCGGCUCUCGAUCCAGAGUAGGGCCGGGCACGUGAAACCCGGUCCGAAGCAGGGGGGACCACCCUCCAAGGCUGAACACUCUCCGAUGACCGAUAGCGAACCAGUACCGCGAGGGAAAGGUGAAAAGCACCCCGAGAGGGGAGUGAAACAGCGCCUGAAACCGUGCGCCCCCAAGCAGCGGGAGCCGUUCCGACGACGGUGACCGCGUGCCUUUUGUAGAAUGAGCCUGCGAGUCGCGGCAUGCGGCGAGGUUAAGGGACACCGAGCCGCAGCGAAAGCGAGCCUGAACAGGGCGAUUUGAGUCGCAUGCCGCGGACGCGAAGCCGGGUGAGCUAUCCAUGGGCAGGGUGAAGCGGGGGUAAGACCCCGUGGAGGCCCGAACCCACUUCGGUUGAAAACGGAGGGGAUGACCCGCGGAUAGGGGUGAAAGGCCUAUCAAACCCGGAGAUAUCUCGUUCUCCCCGAAACAGCUUUAGGGCUGGCCCCGGGCAUUGACCAUCGGAGGUAGAGCACUGGACCGGCGAGGGGGCCUCACCGCCUACCGACCCAGACCAAACUCCGAAUGCCGAUGGUUUGGACCCCGGGAGUCAGAGCGCGUGGGCUAAGCUGCGCGCUCGAGAGGGAAACAGCCCAGACCGCCCGCCAAGGCCCCAAAGGCCGUGCUAAGUGGCAAAGGAUGUGCGCCCGCCCAGACAACCAGGAUGUUGGCUUAGAAGCAGCCAUGCAUUCAAAGAGUGCGUAACAGCUCACUGGUCGAGUGGGGGCGCGCCGACAAUGCGCGGGGCUCAAGCACGGCGCCGAAGCGGCGGAAUCGAUUUAUUCGAUUGGUAGGGGAGCUUUCCAUGCCGGGCGAAGCCGGAGGCGCGAGCCCCGGUGGACGGCAUGGAAGUGAGGAUGCAGGCAUGAGUAGCGAGAGAGCGGCGAGAAACCGCUCCGCCGAAAACCCAAGGUUUCCUGGGCGAGGCUAAUCCCCCCAGGGUCAGCCGGGAGCUAAGGCGAGGCCGCAAGGCGCAGCCGAUGCACGACGGGCAGACAUUCCCGUGCCGGCGCGGGCGCGCUACGACCGAUGGGACGACGGGGAAGGAUACGCGAGCGGGGUUCUGGACGUCCCCGUGAAAGCGCGUAGGGAGGGGCCCAGGGAAAUCCGGUCCCCACACAUCCCGAGACGCGAGACGAGCCGCACGGCGAAGUCGCGGAUUCCAUGCCUCCUAGAAAAAUCCCUAGGCAGCGCCCACGCCGCCCGUACCAAAACCGACACAGGUGGGUAGGAAGAGCAUUCCGAGGCGAUCGGGGCAACCAUGGUCAAGGAACUCGGCAUAAUCGUCCCGUAACUUAGGGAGAAGGGACGCCCCCCAGCGUGAACCGGCUCGCCCGGGGAGCGCCGGGGGGCCGCAGCGAAAGGGCCCAAGCGACUGUUUACCAAAAACACAGGACUCUGCCAAGCCGCGAGGCGAAGUAUAGGGUCUGACGCCUGCCCGGUGCCGGAAGGUCACGGGGAUCCGUUAGCCUUUGGCGAAGCGGUGAACCCAAGCCCCGGUAAACGGCGGCCGUAACUAUAACGGUCCUAAGGUAGCGAAAUUCCUUGUCGGGUAAGUUCCGACCUGCACGAACGGCGCAACGACUUGGGCGCUGUCUCGACCAUGGGCCCGGCGAAAUUGCAUUAUCCGUGAAGAUGCGGAUUCCCCGCGGAAGGACGGAAAGACCCCGUGAACCUUUACUGCAGCUUGGCAUUGGCCGCAGGCGCGGCGCGUAGAGGAUAGGCAGGAGGCUGCGAAGCCGGGGCGCCAGCCCGGGCGGAGCCGACCUUGGAAUACUGCCCCCGUCGCGUCGGCGGCCUAACCCGGGGACGGCCCGGGGACCGUGCCAGGCGGGCAGUUUGACUGGGGCGGUCGCCU